Long non-coding RNA from Corvus moneduloides (New Caledonian crow), 518 nucleotides. Lineage: Eukaryota; Metazoa; Chordata; Aves; Passeriformes; Corvidae. The record is from Ensembl.
AUCUUCUCCUUCCGAAUGGCUUUUGAAAGCUGAUGAUGUGAUUUGAGCAGAAUUUCACUCUAGGACUUUUCAGGAUCUGAUGUCUGAUGCUGAGAUGGAAAAUGAUCUGAGACUGACUCAACUCAUCAGCUUCUGACACCCAAAGGACGCUCCACUCCUGCUUGUGCACUUUCUGCCACCUUCAUGAAACUUCAGCCUUGUCUUCUUUUCCACCAGAGGCAAACUCUGUAUUCUGAGCUGUCCCCCUUAACUAUUGAGUAUCUCAGCCCAGACAAUGGGCUCCUGCCUCCAGGAGUGUGCGACUGAAAUAAAUCCACUGACUUGAGCAGCCCUGCUCCAUCGCAACCGAGAGCCGAAGCUGGUCUCCAACACACAAACUUCCAUGGAGCACAAGCCAGGGAACAGCAUACAGGUAAGCAGCAUUUUUAACUCCUUAGCAUGGCUUGUGUUUGUACCUGCCCUGGCUCAUGGUUUAUACACAUAGAGUAGGUAUUAAAUAUCACUGUCUUUGCACUACG